UGCCUGGUGGCCAUAGCGAGUAGGUCCCACCCGAUCCCAUUCCGAACUCGGAAGUGAAACUGCUCAGCGCCGAUGAUAGUGUGGGGUUACCCAUGUGAAAGUAGGUCACUGCCAGGC
RNAcentral lists this ribosomal RNA (117 nucleotides) under Nitrosococcus oceani. Lineage: Bacteria; Pseudomonadati; Pseudomonadota; Gammaproteobacteria; Chromatiales; Chromatiaceae. The record is from RNAcentral.